GACGAACGCUGGCGGCGUGCUUAACACAUGCAAGUCGAACGGAAAGGCGCUGCUUUUGUGGGGUGCUCGAGUGGCGAACGGGUGAGUAACACGUGAGUAACCUGCCCUUGACUUUGGGAUAACUUCAGGAAACUGGGGCUAAUACCGGAUAGGAGCUCCUGCUGCAUGGUGGGGGUUGGAAAGUUUCGGCGGUUGGGGAUGGACUCGCGGCUUAUCAGCUGGUUGGUGGGGUAGUGGUAUACCAAGGCUUUGAAGGGUAGCCGGCCUGAGAGGGUGACCGGCCACCUUGGUCCUGAGAUACGGCGCAGUCGCCUACGUGAGGCAGUAGUGGAGAAUAUUGCGCAACGGGCCGAAGCCUGAUGCAGCAACCUCCCGUGCGGGAUGCCGGCUUUCUGGUUGUAAACCGCUUUCGCCUGUGACGAAGCGUUAGUGACGGUAAUGGGUAAAGAAGCACCGGCUAACUACGUG
This 468-nucleotide ribosomal RNA is filed under the name uncultured bacterium. RNAcentral describes it as "partial 16S ribosomal RNA". It matches the Rfam family "Bacterial small subunit ribosomal RNA", at positions 28 to 507 of the family's 1533-position model. The record is from RNAcentral.